Molecule: ribosomal RNA, 119 nt
Organism: Erinaceus europaeus (western European hedgehog)
Lineage: Eukaryota; Metazoa; Chordata; Mammalia; Eulipotyphla; Erinaceidae
Source: Ensembl
AUCUAUGACCAGGCCACCCUGAACAUGUCUGAUCUCUUCUGAUCUCAGAAGCUAAACAGGGUUAGGCCUGGUUAGUAUUUGGUGUGAAAUGUAAAACAUUACAAAGGGAGUUAUUUUUU